RNA transcript from Chionomys nivalis (European snow vole), 5822 nucleotides. It is a transcript of the gene named DNA topoisomerase II binding protein 1, with no coding region annotated. The transcript has 27 exons. The record is from RefSeq and is a predicted model, not a curated record. NCBI's taxonomy places the organism in Eukaryota, Metazoa, Chordata, Mammalia, Rodentia, Cricetidae.
GUCCGCCUGGUUGGCGCGAAAGUCGGUUCCUGGCCGCGGCGCUUCCGGGUUCGGCUGCGUUUUCUUGGGGCUGGGGGCGUCCCCGGGGGCGGGGGCUGCGCGCCGGGCUGGCGCCCGACUCCAGCAGCGGUCCCGCUGGCCGCGCGCCCCCCGACUUGGUGCCUGUGGGCCCUCAGGCUCCACCGAGUUCAGCAAUGUCCAGAAAUGACCAAGAACCGUUUUUUGUGAAGUUUUUAAAGUCUUCAGACAAUUCAGAAUGUUUUUUUAAAGCUCUUGAGUCAAUAAAGGAGUUACAAUCAGAAGAUUAUCUUCAGAUUAUUACAGAAGAAGAAGCAUUGAAGAUAAAGGAGAAUGACAGAUCACUUUAUAUCUGUGACCGUUUCAGUGGUGCUGUUUUUGAUCACCUUAAACAGCUUGGCUGCAGAAUUGUUGGUCCUCAAGUAGUCACAUUUUGUAUGCGCCACCAGCAGUGUGUCCCAAGAGCUGAGCAUCCAGUUUACAAUAUGCUUUUGUCCAGUGUAACUAUAUCUUGUACAAGCCUGGAUAAAGACAAAAGGGAAGAAGUUCAUAAAUAUGUACAAAUGAUGGGUGGACGAGUAUACCGAGACCUUAAUGUAUCAGUCACUCACCUUAUUGCAGGAGAAGUUGGGAGCAAAAAAUACUUAGUUGCUGCUAAUCUGAAGAAACCUAUUUUGCUUCCUUCUUGGAUAAAAACGCUUUGGGAGAAGUCACAAGAGAAUAAAAUAACCAGAUACACUGACAUAAACAUGGAAGACUUUAAGUGUCCUAUUUUUCUUGGUUGCAUUAUCUGUGUGACUGGCUUAAAUGGUAUACACAGAAAGACAGUUCAGCAACUGACAUCUAAGCAUGGAGGCCAGUACAUGGGGCAGCUGAAGAUGAAUGAAUGUACACAUCUCAUUGUUCAAGAACCAAAAGGACAAAAAUAUGAAUGUGCCAAGAGAUGGAAUGUGCAUUGUGUGACCCUGCAGUGGUUUCAUGACAGUAUUGAGAAAGGCUUUUGUCAGGAUGAAUCUAUAUACAAGGCUGAACCCAGAGCAGAAGUAAAGACGGUGCCUGAUACUUCAACUCCCACUGGUCAGAGCAAUGCAGCAGCUGAAAGUCGCACUCUUGCAGAUGUCAGCCAUAUAUCCAACAUAAACAGCAGUUGUAUAAAUGAAACAAUGUUCAGUUCAGCUUCUAACAAACUUGAAUGUACACUUGAAAACCUAGAAAAUCUGGACAUCAGUGUAUUUCAAGCCCCUGAAGAUUUGCUAGAUGGCUGUCGGAUUUAUCUUUGUGGUUUUAGUGGCAGAAAGCUAGAUAAACUGAGAAGACUUAUUAACAGUGGCGGUGGAGUUCGGUUUAAUCAACUUAAUGAAGAUGUAACUCAUGUAAUUGUGGGAGAUUAUGAUGAUGACUUGAGGCAGUUUUGGAGCAAAUCAUCCCACAGGCCUCACGUAGUAGGAGCAAAGUGGUUGCUGGAGUGUUUUAGUAAAGGAUAUAUGCUUCCUGAAGAGCCUUAUAUCCACAGUAACUACAAACCGGUUGGAAUUCCAGUCUCAGAUCAGUCUGAGGACCAGACAAUUAUCUUAGAAAAGAAUAGCACAUUCUCUAAGAAAGAUUUUGCUCCUAAUGAGAAGCUCCAGGAAGCUGAUGAGGAACUGCUUGCUCAGUAUGUAAAUAAUGACUCCACAAUAGUUGAAGCUAAGCCAUCUGAGGCUACAGAGCCUGAAGUUGGGCCUUGCAGUGAUUCUACUCAAGUUGAGCCCUGUGAUGACUCCACUCACAUUUCUGUGCACGAGGAAGACCAUUCUUCAGUCAGCCAUUGCCUCCUUGAUGGCUCUGCAGUUCCUGAGGAAGGCUUAUUUAGCCAAAAGAGCUUCCUUAUUUUGGGUUUUAGUGUUGAAAAUGAAUAUAAUAUUAUAAACAUCAUAAGAGAACAUGCUGGAAAGAUCGUGUCCCUUCCCAGCAGAAUUGUUGCCGACUAUGCUGUGGUUCCGCUGCUGGGGUGUGAAGUAGAAGCAACUGUGGGAGAAGUUGUUACAAAUACGUGGCUGGUUACGUGUAUAGAUUACCAGACACUAGUUGAUCCCAAGUCAAAUCCCCUCUUCACACCAGUGUCGGUAAUGUCAGGAAUGACUCCUUUAAAGGACUGUGUGAUUUCUUUCAGUCAGUGUGUUGGAGCAGAGAGAGAUUCCUUGGUAUUUUUAGCAAAUCACCUUGGAGCAAGUGUUCAAGAAUUCUUUGUUCGUAAAUCCAAUGCAAAGAAAGGCAUGCUCGCCAGUACACAUCUUAUAGUGAAAGAACCGACUGGUUCUAAAUAUGAAGCUGCAAAGAAGUGGAGUUUGCCAGCAGUCACUAUUCCAUGGCUCUUAGAAACUGCUAGAAUGGGAAAGAGAGCAGAUGAAAGCCAUUUUCUGGUUGACAGUGCACCUAAACAAGAACAAGUAUUAGAAACUAAGCUACCAAAUGGAGUGGAUCCAAAUCCAGACUCUCCAGCAAAUCCUGACAUACAUCUGGAAAUGCACAGAAAAGUGGCUGUUACACCUUUGGACAUGAACCACUUUCAGAGUAAAGCUUUCCAUGCUGUCAUGUCUCAGCACUGUAAGCAGGACUCGGUCUCUUCGGCAGUAGGACAGCCACUUAAGAAGGAGCCCUCCUUACAUCUGGACACACCAUCAAAGUUUCUGUCCAGGGACAAACUCUUCAAGCCAUCUUUUGAUGUAACGGAUGCCCUUGCAGCCUUGGAAACCCCAAGAACUGCCACCCAGAAAAGGAAACUGAGCUCACCACUCUCUGAAGUCAUUGUCAGAAACCUGAAAAUUGCUUUGGCAAAUAGUUCCCGAAACACCAACACUCUUUCUGCCAGCCCUGAGCCAAAGGGUGCCCAUUUGGAAGAGGAAGAGGCCCCAAAACCCCUUGACAAAGUUGUGGUAUGUGUGAGUAAAAAGCUCAGUAAGAAGCAGAGUGAACUAAAUGGGGUUGCAGCCUCCCUGGGAGCAGAGUACAGGUGGAGUUUUGAUGAGUCGGUGACUCAUUUCAUUUAUCAGGGUCGGGCACACGAUAGUAAUCGAGAAUAUAAAUCUGCAAAAGAAAGAGGGGUACAUAUUGUUUCUGAGCAUUGGCUUUUAGAGUGUGCUCAAGAGUAUAAGCAUCUUCCUGAAUCUCUUUAUCCACACACUUACAAUCCCAAAAUGAGCCUGGACAUCAGUACAGUGCAAGAUGACGGGUUCUGUAAUAGCCGGCUGCCCUCAGCAGUUUCUGCAUCUAAGGAUGUUGAGCCGGAUCAUUUGUCUAGAGAAGAAAAUGAGAUGGACAGCACUGUCACAAUUAACAGAGACUCAGCACUAGAGAAUGGGAACGGAAGAAAUGACUGUAAAGGAGCUCUGACACAGACCUUGGAGAUGAGAGAAAACUUCCAGAAGCAAUUGCAAGAGAUCAUGUCAGCAACCUGCAUCGUGAAGACGCCUGCGCAGAGGACUUGCCUGUCAAGAAGCAGUUGUAAUAGUGCUUCUUCAACUCCUGACAGUACUCGCUCUGCUCGGAGUGGACGAAGUCGAGUCCUGGAGGCACUCAGGCAGUCUAGACAGAUAGUGCCUGAUAUCAACACAGAGCCCUCCCAGAAUGAGCAGAUCAUUUGGGAUGACCCAACAGCAAGGGAGGAGAGAGCAAGGCUCGCCAGCAACUUGCAGUGGCCUAGCUACCUCACACAGUAUUCUGAGCUUCAGGUUGACCUUAAAAAACUGGAUGAUUCUCCUUCUCGAGAGCCUGUAUGCCGUUCAGAAAUUGCUGAGCAGGUCUUAUGUGUGACCGAAGCUCCAGAACAUCCAAUCUCUGAAGACCCAGAAACUCCAACAACAGAUAGGCAUCUAAUGCCUGUGCCUCAAGCCCCCAGCACUGCUUUCCCCCCAAACAAGCCACCUGUGACUCCACACCCUAUCGACAAGAUUGAAAAAAUGGAGGAGAAUCUUACAAAACUUAAAAAGCAGUAUGUGUUCCAGAUGUCGUCUCUUAAUGCUCAAGAGCGGACUGAGUACUGCCACCUGAUUAAAAAACUAGGUGGGCUGGUGAUUGAGAAGCAGUGCUCAGACCCCAGGUGCACACACAUGGUUGUGGGGUACCCAUUGCGCAAUGAGAAGUACCUAGCCUCCAUGGCAGCUGGCAAGUGGAUACUUCAUCGUACCUAUUUGGAAGCUUGCAGGACAGCGGGGUGCUUUGUGCAGGAAGAAGACUAUGAAUGGGGCAGUAGCUCCAUACUUGAUGCUCUCACUGAUGUCACUGAACACCAGCAAAAACUGGCACUUGCAGCAAUGAGGUGGAGGAAAAGAAUCCAACAAAGACAAGAAUUAGGCAUUGUUGAGGUACGGACAUAUAUACUUACGUGAUGACUAUAUAGAUACUACAAAUAGGAUUCAGUGUUAGGACUUUUGUUUUGAAGAAUAUGCUUGACCAAGUAAUUCUAAUUAUCUUUUAUUCCUUAAUUGAUAUUUUGUUGUGCAUUCUAUGUUGAGCUAAAAUUUGUGUUGUAGCUGUGCAGGUGCCACAUGCUUUUAAUUCCAGCACUUGGGAGACAGAGGCAGGAGGAUGUCUGUGAGUUCCUGGGCUCUGUACAGAGAUCCUGUCUCAAAAAACAAGAGUAUUUAUUAUGUUGCACAGUGAGAUAUGGGUCUUCUAAAUGUAAUUUGUCUCUUCAGGGUGUAGCAUCUGGAAUAAUCCUAAACUGAGUCCACAGAUUUCUCCCAAAGGAGUCUGAGACCCAAAGUCUGUAUCCUUUGAGUAAGAAUAUUAUUUCCUUAACCUUCAAUUUUUAAAAUUUUGGUUCCACAUACAGAGAAAACAUAUUAUUUGUCCUUCUUGGUCUGGCUUACUCAAACAAUGAUCUCCAGUUCUAUCCAUUUCCCAGUGGAUGACAUGAUUCCAUUCUUUUUUAUGGCUAAGUAAUACUCCACUAUAUGUACUAUAUAUUAUAUGACAGCAUUAAGCAAUAUAUGGGAUUCCUCCUCCCCCCACCGUCUUUGCUUGCAUUUCUUGUUAUUUUCUGAUGGUAGCUAUUUUGGCUAGGGUGAAAUGUAAUCUCAACUUAGUUUGAUUUUUAUUUUCCUGAUGGCUAAAACUCAAACAAUUUUUCAAGUAUUUAUUGUCCACAUAUAUUUUCUUUAUUUAUGUGUAUGAGGAGAUCAGAAGAAUAUCAGACACCAUGGACUUAGUUACAGGCUGUUGUGAGCUGCCUGUGUGGGUGCUGGGAAUCAAACCCUGGUCCUCUGCAAGAACAGUUUAACCACUAAAUCAUCUCUCUAGCCUUUCAUUUGGAUUUCUUUUGAGAAUUUUUGGUUUGCUUCGUUUGUUUGUUGACUAAUUGCAAACGAUUUGAGGUGGUUUUUGUUUUAAUUACAUUUCAGUCCAUUGUAUGGUACUCCUGUAAUCCUAGCACUUGGGGGACAGAAGAAUCAAUUCAGAGCCAGCCUCAAUACAUUGGGACUGAAAAUUAGCCUGAGCUGUAUGGGUAAAAAAAAAAAAAGCUAAUGGGCUAGAGAGAUGACUGGAGUAAGAGCACUUGCUGUUUUUCCGGAGGACUCAGGUUUGCUUCCCAGCAUUUGCAAGGUGGCUCACAAUCAUCUGUAAAUCCAGAGGAUCCGACACCCUCUUCUGGCCUCUACCAGCUCUGUAUGCAAGUGAUAGACUGUGGAGGACAGGGGGAGCAUUUAGUGGCUGGAAGGUUAUUUUAUGUGUUGAUCGGCCCCGAGAAGCUGGGUUUAAGCGUCUUCUUCAGGCAGGAGGAGCAGAGGUGUUACCUGGUCAUCCCGUACCUUUAUUUAAUGAGG